Sarcophilus harrisii (Tasmanian devil) is the source of this 8795-nucleotide long non-coding RNA. The record is from Ensembl. NCBI's taxonomy places the organism in Eukaryota, Metazoa, Chordata, Mammalia, Dasyuromorphia, Dasyuridae.
CCAAAUUUAUGCGAGGGACACUCUUGAUAUAAUGAUAAACAGUAAAACACAGGCCAGAGACAUAUUGUUAGACAAGAGAAGCAACAGCAUAUUUAUUGGUACAUCCAAGCAUCACAAAUUCUGAAAUCCCAAAGAUUAGAGUACUCUGACUAAAUGGUUUUCUUACAAACUGUUCUUUCUACUUAAAUUGAAUGCUUCCCUGUCCCUACUGUAUCAAAUAUGUAACAAUGAGGAGGGAGUCAUUUCUCUAUUUUACACUUCAAUGGGCAACAGAAACUGUAAACAUGUGAUGGUCCUCUGAAAGCCCAUUUCAGGUAGACUGUGGCUGGUCUCUUAGGAAAAGUGCAGCUUAAUUGGUGUGUACAUUGUGGACAGCUUUACAUCACAAACCUUCAGUUUAAAAUUGUUCUCACGAUCCAAACAGCACCAGUGUGUUGUUGUUUUUCUCUUCUGGUGUUAAAUCUUUAGGAAACAUAUAUUUAUUUUUAUCAACACACAAAAUCCAAAAUAAUGAAAAGCAAAGAAAACAAAAACAAAGAAAUCCCAAAACAUUCAAAAUAGGUUUGUUUUUGUUUUUAGAGUAACAACAUUUAGGGAAAAAAAUCCCCAACAUUUAAACUUUUAAUCUAAUCUAUGUACAAUAUGCCAAAAGCUAGCACAAAGCCAAUGAACAGUCAUUUUUAGGUUUCUUAACCUGAAUCUUUACAGGCUUUAUUUACAGUUGGAUAUCCAGAAAAGUAAUCAUCAGAACAGUUGAAUUUGGCUAAAAAUCAUAUAAAAAGACACCCCCUCCCCCCAUACCUUCUAAAUAUAUAGCAAAUAUAUCCAGUAUAACCCAAAGUAUCAGGUUUGGAAGCUCUUUUCUCAUAUUUUAAAAAGUGAAUUGUGAAAUGAAACAGCAGUCACAGAUGGCUGAGAAACUGUCUUUCGAGACACAAAGCAGGGUCAGGAUUGCAAAGAAAUUGAACAGUCUGUGUGUCCUAUUAAUGGGCAAACGAAGAAGAGUAUUUUUCACACUAAGCAACACAGACAAGUUCUGAUAAAGGAGCAAAUGGAAAAAUGUUAGCGAAAAGACUAGAAGUACAAGUACAAUUGGAUGAGGAGAGGGGCAUGUGAUCCAUAAAAAUUCCAAAACAAAGGAAAAUGUCUCCAUGCUAAUUUUUUUUUUUUUUUUAACAAUCAAUGGUUUGCUUUAAAGAAGAAAAUAUUUCCAUGUUAUUCAUUUGAAAUUAUAUAACCCAAAUCUUUUAGACACCCCCCCCCCACCCUCACCCUUGGACUUAAAAAACAUACAUACACACAUACAUACACACACAUACAGAGGAAGAAAACAUCUAUUGCAUUCAUAUUGCAGCUAUCCUAUGCAAGUACCUACAAACUGUAUACAGUUUGGAGUCCCGAGUUAUCACACUUGUUAAAGAAAGAAUAUACACUUACUAUAGCCAGCAUUUUGCUCCAUGGGUAAAAUAGAAAACACUUGUCAUUUCUCCACUAAAAUGGAUGGACUUGUAUAUUACAUAAAGAUGAUAGUCUGAAGUUAAAUGCACUGUGACUAAAAAAAGCACAUUAGCUCAAAAAACUAGAUAGAUGGGCACCUAACCUUCCCGGUGAGGACAUGCAGUCAAAGUUUUUAUGUAACAUUUGCAAUAAUGAUAAACAUCUAUGGGGAACAAAAAGCUUACUUGGACUCCAUACAAAAUACAUGUUAAUUGAUGAAAAGUAUGAAAAUGCAUAGCUUGGAACUGUUUACAUUCAUUCACUAAUAUUAAAGACUUUUGUAAGCAAGUUCUUCACCAUCACUUUCCCCAUCACAUUGUAUUUCUAACGAUCUAAUCAUCUAACUUCAAAAUCCGUGCCUAAUUAAAAAGAAAGUGUCACUUUAAUGAUAAUAGGAAGAUUGGUUACUUUCCCUUUUUUCUUUUUACUCUUUGUUCUUUAUGACAUAGAUAUCUCCCCCAAACCUAGGCUUUCUUGGCCAGCAUUUCUAUCUAUUAUGUAUCCCAUUCUAAAAACAAAUAAUAAUUUUGUUAUAUUGUUGGUUUUGGAUUUGGUGUUUGAAAUUAGUUUAAAAAAUGGCUUGAUUUUCAGGAGCAGAGUUUUUUAAACCUCAAUAUGGGCUGGGUGCAGGUGAGAUUUGCCGUAGUAGUUAUGUCCUCCCACCCACCCACCCCCAUCUGAAAAAUGCUACUGAUUUUUUCUCAGUAGUUGCAUUUAAUAGUGCUCAUGAACCCUUUGGGACCUAGCAAAUUUCUUCUUAUCCUGAGCUCUUCUAAAAAGUCUAUUGGGUUACUGAUACAGUUAACGUGCUGGAAACUGCACCAGGACCUGGUUACUCAAUAUAGAAUAUGUCUAAAUGGUAGAAUAUUUUCUAACCACUUAAUGUAGAAAAAUAGGAAAGUUAGGGCAUAUCAAGAAAUUUCUGUUGCAAGGAAACGUUUAGUAAUGAAUAGUAUAGUUUAAAUAGCUAACAUAUAAUCCAAUCCCUAUAUUAUUUUAAGUCUAGGGUAUUUUCAGUGAUUGAAGACACUAAAUAGGAAUAUUUCCAGGGUGCUGAGCUCUUGAGUUUUACCUACCUUAGUCCCUAAAAAUCCAUAUUGUGUUGCUAAGUCUCUUCUAAAGCUCUCCAACAGCAGCUGAAGGGGGUUUCCCAAAAUAUUCUGUGAAUACACUAACAAGGUCUUUUUCUUACCCAGACAUCGAUAAAAGUCAGAACCAUCAAUAUUCAAGAAGCUAAAGAAUGUUUUAAGAUACCAACAAGAGUCUGAUUUACAAGUCAUACUUUUCAUCCUGAAUUUGCGGAAAUCCUGUCAUUAGAUAAUGCUGAUAUCCUGGAGGGGAUAUUUCUUAACAUGAAUUCAGACAGCAGCAAACUGGGGCUGGGGGCAAUAUCUCCUUCUACAACGUUGUAAUCCAUGUUAGGCUUAGCCAGAACAUUUCAUAUUUUGAUUUCCAAUGUAGGAGAAAGUUUUUGCAGCCUUGUAGAGGUGUUUAAAAAUGUUUUGGGGGUCACAACUGCCUUCUCCUUUCAUGAUGAUUAAAUUAAAGUGAUUAUACUGGAGAAGACAUUGCUUAUUCAAAUAAUCAGGGCUAGUCCAUUUUCUUAUGCAAUGGAGAGAUUAAAUAUGAAGUGGUCUUUGUAAAUGUGGGUCUCCAUAAGAUCUUUGUUCUGGAAUAAAAGUCAUUGGUUCUGAUUGCUAAUAUUUAAUUUUUCCCUACAACCAUGCUAUUGAUAGUACUGGGCAAUUAAUGCAACAGUUAUUAAAUCCAAAAAGAUUAUCUUGCUUUUGCCAGCUAUCAGAGCUCAAACAGACAUUUCUGUGGUGAAUAAUGCAGGUUGUGCGUUCACCGAGCUGUUCUCUGAUCAUCUAAGCUUUUCAGACAGAUGGAAAUUUCUCCCUGAAGGAAGGUGGUGAUCAGGUAUGGGACCUGCCUUGCCAGCCACAAUGAAUUUAUCCCCCAAUGGACCUUUUCUUGACCCAGAAGUAUAAAUCAGCUGCAUAACAGCAGCAGCAGCAAGAUGCUCCUAGACUGCUGCCGUCCUGUGCAAACGCGGCCCUAUGGUUGUAUUCUUUUGAUAAAUAGCUUACACAUCAACAUUUCAUUGUAAGUUAGGCUGUUCAAUUAAUCAGACUGAGUCACUCAAAAGACAGAAAAUAUUCAAGUGGUUGCUAAGAAAAUAUAUCCCUUCAAACUCUACAUUUCCCAUUGUCUAGGAAACAGGUAAACUGAGGCCAAGAACUAGGUGAUGGAUAAUCCUUUUCUUUCUUUAGCUCACUCACCACUUCUAAGGUGGUGUUGGUCCUGCCUUUAAAAAAUAAACAGUGAUAGAGAAAAGACAACUUAAACAAAAGGUAAGAAUUAGCCCUCAGAAAUCUUAUCAAAAGAAAGGAAGAUAUCCUCUUAACAGAUAAACCUUUUCACCUUCUCCCUGAGCUGCUAUAUCUAUUCAUUAAUUUUCUGAAUAAAAUAGAAUGGCUGCUGGGAAUCAAAUGCAAUAGUUAGACUUAAGAAUUUUGUGCAGCAUUUUUUGAUAGCAUUAAUAAAGGGGCCACUCUUUGGAACAUACUUAGUAACUAUGCCUAUGGUGCUAAACCUGAUAGAACUUGUAAAAAAAAAAAAAAAAAAAAAGAAAGAAAGCAGUAGAAUGUAAUCAUCUGUCUUCUUUCAAAAGCCUGCAGCUUCCUAUUUGUCACUGGAAAGUUCUCUAAACUGGAUACCUAGUAAAUUUAGCUUUCUAUCCUGAAAUCACUCUUUAUUCAGGCUUGUCUAAGAGUUUGAGUUCAGACCACAAGUAAAGCAUUCGCACCUUCUCCAUUCUACAGUAGGUUGGUAAGUAUUUAUUUGACAAUUGACUCUAAGAAUGAACAUACGACACACUUUUUAAGCUUAAUUUUCAUUAGUAACAUUUUCUUAAAUACUUUCUUAAGUCUAAAUGACCAACAAAAUAAGUCAAGUUCUGACUUGCAGUGUUUGUCAAUCUCAUACUAAAAAUUUUAAAAUCAGCUUUCACAAGCUGCUCCAAAUUAGCUCUAUCAACUAAUUUUUAUACCAUCUUAGAAGAUUUAUUUCAUUUCUUUUGUAAUCUGAAUUAGUUCUGAAGCUGAUCCCCAGGCUCAUCUCAGCAUCUGGGUUGCCUUUGGGGUAUCAAAUGUUCCUGCACAUAUUUCCCUGAUCAAUUUAGACCCUAAUCCAUUGGAUCUGCUCUAGAACUGCCCCUGACAAGGAGCAGAUUUUAAUCAUUCUCAAUUUAACCUUCAGGGACUGCUUCAAAGACUUAAUUCCAAAUGUUUACUUAGGAAUAACUUAAAAAUCAUGUUGUCUUUUAAAACUAAUAGCACUCAAUUUUAACAUAGGAUUUAAAAAUUAUUUAAGUUAGCUAUCCAAAUGAAUGAAGAAUGUUCUAACUAAUCUUUCCAAGAUAUAGCCAUGGCUAAUUCCCUAAAAUGCCCUCAGAGAAGCUUAUAUAUACAUAUAUUUUAAUAUUUGCACAGAAUCUCCCUUUGAGAUCCAGGGGGAAGCUCCAGAAUAUACACAAAAGUUUUGUAGUAAGGUGACAAGAAUUUUACUAGGUCAGAAAAGAAUAGUGGUUUCAUAGUGAAAACUUGUUGGGUGGGGAGAUGGAAGGAACAUGGAAAAGGGCUGAGAAUAUGGCAAAGGGCUUUGGCAUUAGAAAGCAAAGUGUGUUAUCUUACAAUAAUUGCAGAGGACUCCCUUGCUGGCUGCUCUAAAGGUGCAUCAGCUCUCCUGGGCUACCCCCUUCUCGUCACAGUGGUUGCGGUAGUUAUAUCAGUAAGAAAGCUUGCAAUUGCAGUUUUUUUCAGUGCUACUGGGUACUCCAUGCCAGCAGGAGAGCUAACUUUGAUUAUGCUUUGAUGAAUUUUAUUUAGACAGAAGUCUGAGGAGAUCACAUUUCUGAAUUUGUCUUCAGUAAAAAAUAAUUUCUGGUGAGAUAUGACCUCACUGACUUCUCUCUUCACUAAACAGCUAAGGUUUUUAACUUCUCCAUGCAUGAGACUGAAAGACCAAGGGAGAUAUGAUACAAUGCUGGCUCUGACUACAGAAUAUACUGUAUACCUUCAAUAAGGCUCAGUCUACCUUUAGGUGAAACAAAUAUUUUUGGUUUAAAAAAAGUAAUAAAAAUUGGUUGGGAACUUGACCUGUGUAUCACCAAGAUCUAUGGGCUAUACAAAGCUUCCCAGGACUCAGCUUGGUUUAGUAGGAAGAGCACUGGAAUUAAAGGGUCUGUGACUGAAACCUGGCUCUGUCAUUGACUACCCCUUGUGAUCUUGAACAAGUCACUUCAUGUCUGGACCUUAGUUUCCUAAAUGAAUUAUAUAAUGUCACUUCCAGCUGUAAAUCUACAAUUUCAAGAUCCAUCAUAAUCCCUCAAGUUUUCAGUUUUAAGGCCUUUUUGAGUUCACAUGGUUGUCUGCCUUCCUGGUUACCUCAAAAGAGAUAGACCAUUGGAUUUGCAUCUACCCUCUACAUUCCAAUUUGUACUUAAGAUUGUUCAGUUAUUUUAGUUAAGACCAACUCUUUGUGACCCCAUUUAGGGUUUCUUUGUAAAAAAUACCAGAGUGGUUUACUAUAUCCUUCUCCAGCUCAUUUUACAGAUGAGGAAAUGGAGGCAAACAGGGUUAAGUAAAAUGUCCAGGGUCACAUAACUAAUUAAGUGUCUGAGGCCAGAUUUUAAAUUAGGAAGAUGAGCCUUCCUGACUUCAGGUCUGGAACUCUAUCCACUGUAACACCUAAACUGCCCCACAAAUUUGAGAUUAUCAGGGUAUUUUUUCCCCACUGAAAACCUAGGUGACAUACAUCUGAAGCAUCUGGGAAUAGAUCUAAUCAAAAUAUAUAGAUACUGCAGUAUUGUUUAAAUAAAGCCAAAAAUGUUUAGGCAGGAAUUAAGAUCUCUAGUAUAUCAACUUCACUUUUAAUUUAAAAAAAUUUUUGUUUUGAUUAACCUACUUGACUCUUGAGAACACAGUCACUUUCUUAUAACCUGUCAUCCCUUAUGAUAAUAUUUCUCACGUCGAAAGAUUAAGCAUUUGGUUUAUUAGAGGUUUAUUAGGCCUCACUAAAGAGAUAUAACUAAUUCUGGGAACUAAAGAACCCCAAAUCUUGAUGAUUCCCCAUGAAUUCUAUCUUUGAGCUGAUAGAUUAAAAAAAAAUUCUCAUCUCACCCAAUGAUGGCUAAUUUCUCACAUUACAUACACUUCUACAAUUCCCAUAGAAUAAACUCAUCUGUAGGACUGGCAGCUAGUAACUUCAUAUUGAGUGUCUUAAAACAAGUUAAAUACGUGACCAAUAAAAAAACGUGCCUCUUUUGACUAACAGUCAAAGCUGUUAGUUUAAAAUGGCAUAGAAAAUGUCUCUUCUGGAAUGUCUUUUUCAUCCCACAGUACUCUGAAACACCAUUUUAGGUUCUGGUAAUGAUAGUGGAAAAGAAGAGCUAUGAAUUGGGGAUUCUCUUAUUGUACAUCUUCAGUUUAGCCUAUUCUUGUCCUUGCUGCAGUGAGAUAAGAGACCUAGGGAGUGACCAGUCAAUAGGAAUCCAAGUGGUGAAGCCCUUUGUUUAGGGAGAGUUGCACUGUUGGUAUUAAAGGCUGCUCCUCCUCCUUCUUGCCUGAUAGAAAUACUGCCCUAGGUGUGCUUCAUGGAGAUGAAUAGCAUCUCCUCUAACCACAAGGAUGCAGCCUGUGCUGCUGCUGACAAAGCACCGGGCAUCUUGAAAAAUGUUUUUGGUCCCCUCAAGAGGUCAAGCACCAGAGCUUAUUAGUAGAGUCUCUUGCUUCUUAGAAGGGUGGAGAUUUUUAAAUAGGUUUAAAAAAAACAAACAAAAAAACUCCCCCAAACCAAUUUAAGUUCAUUUUAGUGUUAUUUAAAUUUACAUACUGAUCUGAUCAAAUAGCGUUCUGAAUCCCAGACUAACAGCAAAGUUACACAGAAUGAGAUUGUUUUGUGAAACAAGGAAACUAAACAAAAAACUAUAUAUAAAAAUGAUCAGAAGAAUAAUCCCUCCUUUGAUUACCAUUCCUAUGACAAACACAAGCCUGGGAAAUCAUGCAUUUAUGCUUCCUGGGGACUUACAAGGCAGGAUUGCUAUCUAUACAGAGAAAACCCAUUAGUCUACUGUAAUUUUUAUUUCUAUAAGCUAUCCGGGUGAGAGUGAAUGUUAAUAAUGUCACCUAAAAGUUUUAAUGCUACUUGAAUGAGCAAACUGAGAUGCAAAAGGACUCUACCAAGAAGUUCUAAUAAGGAGAAAUUGCUGUAGGCUUGAGGAAGGUGGAGACUUUGUUAUGUGCAACUCUGGUAGUUGUUUUCUCAUGGAGAUGAAUUUCUACUAGACCUAUGUGCCUAGAGCACUCUAUAAUAUGCUCCACAACCACAUUUGUAUUCAUGAAUCCUACCUUGCUUUGGCUCUCAUUUAUAUUCAUGAAUUCUACCUAGCUUCCACUUGGGUCAGCGCUACAGAAGACAUGAAGAAAGAUCGAUCUAAAUUUGACAGUAUCUGGAAGAAAGGAGUACCUUACCCAUGAAGGUACUUCUAGGUUUGCACUACAGCAUGCUAUGGAGUGCAAAACACAUUUUAAACUGCUUCUGUUGUACAGACUUCCACUUCUAUAAUAUAGCUAUUUAACUGAGGGAUUGUAGAAGGAGAUGACAAAACUUCAUGUUUACAAGUACAUUCAAAAAAGCUUUAUACAAAGUCAACAAACAACUGCAGGGCUGGAGAAGCCACAGGCAAUAUCUGUUUGGGAUUCAAAUCCAAUCUUAGAACUUCAGAUCAGCUAUAAAUAUAUACCUAUUCCUUAAGGGAGACUCACACGGCAGGGGAGGAGCUGCAUGCUACCUAAGACAGUGGCCUCCCCUUUACUGUGGUCUUCUCUGAAUUUAGACAUCAUCUUCAUUUUGCUACAUAGCUUUGACUAGAAAAAACACUAAAAAUACAUAUUAAAACUCUUACUCCUGUUAGGGUCCACCAGACCUAAUUUACAAAUGUUCUGCCCUUUAAUUUUCCCUGAGGAAAUGAGUACUAUUUACAUUAUUUUGCAACUAUUACCAAGGUAUUCUACUUUAUAUUAAAAGCGAGAGGAGGGUGAAUAACACUUGCCCUACUGCUCUCAUAGGAUUAAAUGAGACUGUGUGUAAAGUGCUUUGUAAAUGGUAAAGCACUGUCUAAAAGCGAGCUAUUAUUAUAUACAAUUUUAGUCACUUCUCAGGCUAGAUGAAUGCUGCAUUUUCCCCUUUCCAUUGAAGCCUUUGAGAGGAAAAAAAAAUUAAAACAUUUGCAGCAC